This 134-nucleotide ribosomal RNA is filed under the name Dictyocoela cavimanum. RNAcentral's name for it is "partial 23S ribosomal RNA". The record is from RNAcentral. Lineage: Eukaryota; Fungi; Microsporidia.
CUCUGCGCAAGGGAUCGUUAGGUUCUAUGUACGACGAAGGCCGGAGUAGUAUCCGAUAUGGUGCUACAAGCGCAGUUAUUGUUGCACGUUGCCUAAUUGAACAGUGAUGUUCGAAUACUCCUUCUAAUUAAGCA